Molecule: transfer-messenger RNA, 355 nt
Filed under: Phreatobacter sp.
Lineage: Bacteria; Pseudomonadati; Pseudomonadota; Alphaproteobacteria; Hyphomicrobiales; Phreatobacteraceae
Rfam family: Alphaproteobacteria transfer-messenger RNA
About the family: Bacterial tmRNA, also known as 10Sa RNA or SsrA, is named for its dual tRNA and mRNA-like properties. Its role is to liberate the mRNA from a stalled ribosome.
Source: RNAcentral
GGCCUUUCGCCGGAGCGAAGGCUCCCCUAUAUUCGUCGUGCCGGGGCAACCCGGAUAUGGCGAUAAACGGCCAUCGCAAUAAACCUUUCGGACCCGGGGGCAGUACCCGGCGCCUCCACCACAAGGGCCCUGGCGGGGCUUUUCUGAUGGGGGCGAAAUAGGAUCGACGAGGGUGUAAAGGGUGGACUUUUGCUCGGCAUGGUUCCGCCGUUAUCGGGCCGUCUCAAUAGUUGCCAACGACAACUAUGCUCCGGUGGCCGUUGCCGCGUAAUGCGGUAAUAGUACCGAAAUCAAGUCCUUGCGGGUAGCACUGUAAGGCGGGGUUCGGAGGCACCUGGCAACAGAAGCCUCCACU